AGCUGGGAAACUACAUUGUUUUGUCCAGGGAGGCGGGGCGAGGCCACAAGCACAAGUGGAGGACGGGAGUGUGCAUAUUGGAAUGGACUCACAGUCCCUAGUCAUUGCAGGGUUCCACCAGGACACUAGGUGUCUCUCUGCCUGUGUCUCUCUCCUGCUCUGUUUGCCUUUCAGGUGCUGCUCUCUGCUAAUUGGGUAUCUGCUGCUGGUGGAGACUGGCCUUUAAAAGCACACCAGUGCUUUCCCUGUUGCUCUAUCUAGUAUCUCCCUGCCUGUGAGCGCUAACCAAGAGGUCCACGCUGUAGGUGUCUCAAUGUCCAACAGCUCAUCUCCCUCCCUUGACGUGUGGCCUGUCAUGGGCUCAAUGAAGGCAUUUACCUCAGUGCAGAGUGGCGCUGGAUCCCUCAAGUGCUUGCAUGGCGGUUGAAGGGCUACCCUGAAGCAUUUGGACAAAGCUGAGCUUGUCUCUAAUCUUCUGGACCAAUCACCAUGUAGCUAGUGGGACCGCUGAGGAACCCACAUCUAUUUGAUGAGGAGGCCUAUCCAAGAGCAGAAUGGCUUCUUGGGUCAGUCGGCGGUUUUGCAUCAUGGUGUGCACUUGAGGUGGUCAACUGACGUUUCAGGCCAUGGACCCUUUGCAUAUUAUGGUGUGACCGUUCAACUGGAGUUUCAGGCCAUGGACCCUGUGCAUUUUCUGAAUUCAUGGAUGCGGCGGCUGUAACAUCAACUGUGAACACAGCUGAGAAGAUUUUGACUCCAGCUUGACUACAGCUCUGGCUCUAUUCCUCUAGAAAAGACCUGGGAUCCUUUCUGGAGGCGCACACAUUAUCCCUGAUUGGAAACCCCAGUGGCUUUGGUGUGACUGUUCAACUGAAGUUUCAGGCCAUGGAUCCUGUGCAUAUUCUGACUUCAUGGAUGCUGGGGCUGUGCACAGCUGAGAAGGUUUUGACUCCAGCUUGACUACAGCUCUGGCCCUAUUCCUCUAGAAAUGGGGCUACGCUUAUGUUUCCAAACCUGGAGAAAUUUUCACAUCAGCGUCUACUUGUGUUGCGUGAUUCACUGAAUUAUUAUUAUAUUUUUUUAAAUCCAGUUGUGCUGUUUACAGUGUAGAUGUGGUUUUCUACUAAACUUUGAGCUGUGUUCUCAAACUUUAUAUAUGCAAAACAUUUGAUUCAGUCUGUAAUGGCUAUGGGUCAAUUAGUUGGUAGAGUAUGCACUUAGUACUCACGUUGACUGUUUCAGUCAACUGUCUGAAGAAAAGUGUGGUUUCUAUUCUUACCCAGUAGGUGGCAUAGAUGAACUCACAUGUGGCUGAAAAGUAUACUGGUAUGACGAUAGUUUUUGAGAAUGAUGAAAGCUGUCUGUUAGUCCUGUUGACAUUCCGUCCUGUGGAUCUUAAAUGUAUACGUUUUGGACUGUUUGUGUAAUUUGGGCGUAUGUAAUAUCAGAAUCUGCCACAGUCCCAAAUUUGAGGCAUUAAUUAAGGGUUUGUAGUAUGUGGUCCCUGAAUUAAUGCCAUGUUCUAAAAUGCAAUUACCCACAUUUUCAAGAUGUCGAUGCUGUGUACUUUGAUGGAAGUACACACUUCAAUUAGAUUUUUAUUUCUUUAUGAAGGAUCUAUAUAACCACCCAAUGAUCAUGACUAUGAAUCACUUUCUUACCAGAGGAUGUAAAUAAAAGUGCCUAGAAAGGCUACACAC
Engraulis encrasicolus (European anchovy) is the source of this 1700-nucleotide long non-coding RNA. RefSeq lists it as uncharacterized. The transcript is spliced from 16 exons. Lineage: Eukaryota; Metazoa; Chordata; Actinopteri; Clupeiformes; Engraulidae. The record is from RefSeq and is a predicted model, not a curated record.